RNAcentral lists this ribosomal RNA (253 nucleotides) under uncultured bacterium. RNAcentral's name for it is "partial 16S ribosomal RNA". It matches the Rfam family "Bacterial small subunit ribosomal RNA", at positions 524 to 776 of the family's 1533-position model. The record is from RNAcentral.
UACGAAGGGGGCUAGCGUUGCUCGGAAUCACUGGGCGUAAAGCGCACGUAGGCGGCUUUCUAAGUCAGGGGUGAAAUCCCGGGGCUCAACCUCGGAAUGGCCUUCAAGACUGCUGGUCUUGAGUUCGAGAGAGGUGAGUGGAAUUCCGAGUGUAGAGGUGAAAUUCGUAGAUAUUCGGAGGAACACCAGUGGCGAAGGCGGCUCACUGGCUCGACACUGACGCUGAGGUGCGAAAGCGUGGGGAGCAAACAGG